UGCCGCUCAGAGUGUAGACACUGACUGAUGGGACCAGGUACAAAAUCCCCUGGGACAAAACAGAACUUUCAUAACUGGCUGUAGAGUUAUUGUUUUUGCCUUUUGGAAGCUUCCACCUUGUGACGGGAAGAGCACUGUCAGCCCAACACAGAAACUCUGCCGCCUGGAGUCACGUGGAUCCAGAUGCGAAGGGACUCCAACGUCAUGCUAAGGAGUUUGGGCUAAGAAUUUGUACAGCCAUAUUACAGAUUUGGAAAAUGAUGUGAAGAGAAGCUAAGGGAUUUGCCACUGCCACUCAGCUGCCAAGGAUCAGAGACAUUACUUCUACUUCUCAACGUCCAUCCUCCAACCAUUGUCCAGUGAUUCAGGCAGAAUUCCCUCCUGCUCAGGAGGUAGCCAUCCUGUGACCCUGGAAGAAACCAGCCCAAGGAAGGUGCUAACCUACAGAAGAAGGACAUGGCCAGGGUAAUCACAUAGACCCGGAGUUGAAGCCCUGACUGCACCACACCCGAAGCCUCCCCACCUUUCAACCUCUCGGUGAUGGUGAACCAAUAAACUCUUUUUAUUGUUCAAGCCAGUGUGAGUUAGGUUCGCUAUAAUUUGCUGCAGAAAGUCUCCUGAGUGAUUCAGAUGCCUGUUGGUGCUCCUGGAAUUGCAUCCAGAUGCCCUACCUUAGUAUUAAAGUCUCACUCAACUCUAAGAUCAAUGAGUGGGGAGGGUGAGGGCUAGAUUUUCAUUGACCCUGGUGUUGCCAGCCCCUGCUGGACAUCAAUCUGGCACAAAGCAGACAAUGUUAAUUUUUUUUUCCUUGAAGGAGUAAACCCAGGUCUCUCUCCAGUGUCUUAUCAGCCUCCCAAAGGCGGGGAAUCCCACUGGGGUCCCUGAUCACCUUCCAGAGCCACCUCUCUGCAAUCAGCUGCAUUUUGCUAGAAUCGGCCUUGCUGUCCACCUUCCCCAUCAGCGUCCUCAUGGAGACCACCAUGAGGGAGGGGCCAGCGGGUCUGAACUUGAGGCUAUGUCUAGCAGUGUGUCUGAGCUCCAGGUACCCAGGAGGGGGCCAUGGCCGAGUGAUGCCCAGGGCACAGGAUGGUGCAAGCAAGAUGUAAACAAGAUGCAAACAAGAUGGUGCAAGGAGAUGCAAACAAGAUGUUUGCAAGGAGAUGUUUGCAACAAGAUGUUUGCAAAGAGAUGUUUGCAACAAGAUGUUUGCAAGGAGAUGCAAACGAGAUGGUGCAAGGAGAGCCUCCAAAACAGCCUGGAAUUCACACAAGUAAAUGGGAGGGGCCUCAGAGCCACUGUGAUUUGGGCAGCAAUAAGUAUGACCAGCAGGGUGACCAGUGGACCAUGAGAAACAUCCACAUGUGGGUCCAAAGAACAUUGCAUUCCUUUGUUUAUCUAACCCACAUCCUCCUUCGUGUCUUAGGGCCUUUGCACUGCCCUUUCCUUGGACUGAUUACCCAGUUACUCUACCUCAUGACCAACCUCUGUCUUAAUUCUCUGCAGAGUGCUUAUCAAUGGCUGAUUGCAUUUGUUUGCUUUUGUUUCUCUGUCCAUGACAGCAAGGACCUUGAUUGUCUUAUUUAUCACUACUUCUCUCAUAUCAAAAAUCCCUCCAUAGUCCUGGCUCA
This 1628-nucleotide long non-coding RNA is filed under the name Homo sapiens (human). RNAcentral's name for it is "non-protein coding LINC01767:13". The record is from RNAcentral. Lineage: Eukaryota; Metazoa; Chordata; Mammalia; Primates; Hominidae.